AACGAACGCUGGCGGCAUGCCUAACACAUGCAAGUCGAACGAGACCUUCGGGUCUAGUGGCGCACGGGUGCGUAACGCGUGGGAACCUGCCCUUAGGUUCGGAAUAACUCCCCGAAAGGGGUGCUAAUACCGGAUAAUGUCUUCGGACCAAAGAUUUAUCGCCUUUGGAUGGGCCCGCGUUGGAUUAGCUAGCUGGUAGGGUAAAAGCCUACCAAGGCGACGCUCCAUAGCUGGUCUGAGAGGAUGAUCAGCCACACUGGGACUGAGACACGGCCCAGACUCCUACGGGAGGCAGCAGUGGGGAAUAUUGGACAAUGGGCUAAAGCCUGAUCCAGCAAUGCCGCGUGAGUGAUGAAGGCCUUAGGGUUGUAAAGCUCUUUUACCCGGGAUGAUAAUGACAGUACCGGGAGAAUAAGCUCCGGCUAACUCCGUG
RNAcentral lists this ribosomal RNA (433 nucleotides) under uncultured bacterium. RNAcentral describes it as "partial 16S ribosomal RNA". It matches the Rfam family "Bacterial small subunit ribosomal RNA", at positions 29 to 507 of the family's 1533-position model. The record is from RNAcentral.